UGGGGAAUUUUGGACAAUGGGCGAAAGCCUGAUCCAGCAAUGCCGCGUGUGUGAAGAAGGCCUUCGGGUUGUAAAGCACUUUUGUCCGGAAAGAAAUCCUUGGCUCUAAUACAGUCGGGGGAUGACGGUACCGGAAGAAUAAGCACCGGCUAACUACGUGCCAGCAGCCGCGGUAAUACGUAGGGUGCAAGCGUUAAUCGGAAUUACUGGGCGUAAAGCGUGCGCAGGCGGUUUGCUAAGACCGAUGUGAAAUCCCCGGGCUCAACCUGGGAACUGCAUUGGUGACUGGCAGGCUAGAGUAUGGCAGAGGGGGGUAGAAUUCCACGUGUAGCAGUGAAAUGCGUAGAGAUGUGGAGGAAUACCGAUGGCGAAGGCAGCCCCCUGGGCCAAUACUGACGCUCAUGCACGAAAGCGUGGGGAGCAAACAGGAUUAGAUACCCUGGUAGUCCACGCCCUAAAACGAUGUCAACUAGUUGUUGGGGAUUCAUUUCCUUAGUAACGUAGCUAACGCGUGAAGUUGACCGCCUGGGGAGUACGGUCGCAAGAUUAAAACUCAAAGGAAUUGACGGGGUCAUAGAUG
Molecule: ribosomal RNA, 580 nt
Filed under: uncultured bacterium
Lineage: Bacteria
Description: partial 16S ribosomal RNA
Rfam family: Bacterial small subunit ribosomal RNA
Source: RNAcentral